GGGAUGUUCAUAACCCUUUGUUGUCCGACUCUGUUGCCUCCGGGGCGACCCUGCCUUCGGGCGGGGGCUCCGGGUGGACACUUCAAACUCUUGCGUAACUUUGCAGUCUGAGUAAACUUAAUUAAUAAAUUAAAACUUUUAACAACGGAUCUCUUGGUUCUGGCAUCGAUGAAGAACGCAGCGAAAUGCGAUAAGUAAUGUGAAUUGCAGAAUUCAGUGAAUCAUCGAAUCUUUGAACGCACAUUGCGCCCCCUGGUAUUCCGGGGGGCAUGCCUGUUCGAGCGUCAUUUCACCACUCAAGCCUCGCUUGGUAUUGGGCAACGCGGUCCGCCGCGUGCCUCAAAUCGACCGGCUGGGUCUUCUGUCCCCUAAGCGUUGUGGAAACUAUUCGCUAAAGGGUGUUCGGGAGGCUACGCCGUAAAACAACCCCAUUUCUAAGGUUGACCUCGGAUCAGGUAGGGAUACCCGCUGAACUUAAGCA
RNAcentral lists this ribosomal RNA (481 nucleotides) under Cladosporium cladosporioides. RNAcentral's name for it is "eukaryotic LSU rRNA". The stretch from base 134 to 287 matches the Rfam family "5.8S ribosomal RNA". The record is from RNAcentral. Lineage: Eukaryota; Fungi; Ascomycota; Dothideomycetes; Cladosporiales; Cladosporiaceae.